GAGAUCAAGUGAGUAUCGUGGCGGCCCUCAGGCUGCAGCUCGCCCGCGGCGCGAGGCCAGCAGUGCCCGCCGCGGCCCCGCGCCCGCACUCCUCACCUCGCCCGCUAGCCGGUGCCCGCAGAGUCCCGCUGCGGGCCGCUCCGAGGGCCAGUCCGGGGCUUUGCUUCAGCUAAUUGAUUGUGUGCCUCGGAUGUUAAACCUGUUGAUCUCAUGAGACUGCAAAGAAGCAUAAAAUGAAUAGACAAUCCAACCAACCAAAGACCGGGGGCAGCAGCAGGCCAGCAAGACGGCAUCUUCUCCUUCCCAGCCUAGAAGCCCUGUGAAAUCGAGGAUCUUCCCCCUAAAACACAUACACACAAGAUAUGUGCAAUCAAGCUGCCACCGCUUGGUAAAAAGCCAUGGUGCCUAACCAAAAAGGAUCAGGAACAGAUCCUUGAAUCAGCUGUCACUUCUAUAGAAUGGGAUUUUUUUUUCCUUCCUCCUUAACCUGCGCUGGAAAUUGCCGUUGGCUUUAUACAUCUCUAUAGAGAGAGGCUAAAGAGUCUUGCGUGAGAAAGAAGCAAUUUACAAUGCAAAUAGAGGCCUGUGAAGGGACGGAUGCUGCUGCUCACUCGUAACAGCUUGCUGCACCUUAAUAGCUGGUUUUAUUUUCUGAUAUUAAUAGAUGAAUUGUUGGCUAACGCUGCCGGAGAUUACUUGCUGAAAGGAAAAAGAAAAGUUCGGAAUAAACUCUGAAGGCAACAGAUCUCGUUUGGAUGUUUUAGCCGCGCACACACACAAACAGAAACCAGGUCAUAUUUACAUAAAAGGAGGAAUCUUAAGCGCGGCAAGUAUCCUGGACGACCACUCUUCGGUACUGCCAGAAAGGAUCAGGACCUGGAGUCUGGCAAGAGGAAGACAGAGGCCUGUGUGGGAAGCGAGUUGUUAUCUUUGGUUAUCUAGCUGUAUGAGUGUAUUGGUCUUCAUAAAGCUAGAUAACCGAAAGUAAAAACUCCUUCAAGAUCGCCGGGGAGCGUGUGAGAAUGAAAGACUACAGCCGAGAGACAGUAAAAACCAGAAAGGUCAGGAAUACUUAUUGAAUCUAACUUUGUUUUUGUUUUGUUUUUUUCCUUAUGAUUAAAGGUGGGAUGAGAGAAAAUUAAAUGACACACACAUGCUAAAAUAUCAAGGUUCCAGAUAUGUCUUGAGAGGGGUUGUUGCAGCUGCAAAGGAGAAGUGUAUAGUGAUAAUGAGUAAAGAUGCAUGUGCAGUUUGUUCUAUUUUAAGGCAAAAGUUAUAUCAGGGAUUUUUUUCUUAGAAAGGUGUUGCAGAGAUGUCUGGUACCUAGUUUAAAAAUGAUUCCAUAAUAUGUAGACUUGGGCAGUUCCUUUGGGAGGCACCUCCCUCUCAAAAUUUGAAGAUUGUGCUUGGAAAUUACUUUACAUGUAUUUGGGCUGUAUGUCAAUUUGUACGAAAUUAGACUUUCAGAAAAGUUUAUACUGGAAGGUUAAUAAUUUGUAUCUACUGAGGACUUAGAGCUAGCAGGCAAAAUGAAAAAAAAAAAAAAAAAAGCAAGGGCUGAUUUUUAUUCUUCUAUUCAAAAUACAAGGACAGAUGCUUCUCUGUUCCAAGAGGGUUUCCUUGAGGAAGCUACUGAAGCAGAAAGACAUGAUGGAGACGAGAUCGCCUCCCCUCUUGUCAAAGUGUUAAAAAAAUGUUCUGUCUUACUCUGCGCCUAGCAUUGGAAAUGAAAGUGACAUUUACGCCACAACCCACGUGUGCGCCUCCUCUCUUUUUGUUUAAGGAUGAUCAGGUCUAUCCAGGAAACAGCUCUGGCAUCCCAAACUGAAAUAAUUAGGACGUAUAUAGACCUGACAAAAAUGGAAAGGGGGUGGGGAAUCUGAGGGUCUGUCUUGCCUAAUUGAUUCCGCUAAACGGAAUGCAGGAGAUGUGAACGGCAGGACGCUCCGAUUCCCACGCUCGGGGGCAAGUGAUAAAGCGGGGCCGGGCAGCCUAUGACAGACAGCCCUGUUGGGGGGUGGGGGUAUGAAAAAAACAUCAAGUGCACACACCAUACUCAUCUCCAUCGCUUAAGAAAGUAAAGGCAUUUCCCACCCACAGCCAUCUGCAGCUUCCCAAAUGGCAGCACCAACUGGUCUGUAGCUGCUACAUAGUCUGCUUCUGUUAAUUUUUUAACCACUGUUUAAUCUGGCCAUAAUUAAGUUUGGCUUUCUUCGUUGUUUGAGAUUUUCAGAAUUCAAGGCAAGCUAGUAGAAAGCAAUUCCAAGAAAGUCCCAUGACUGCCUGCCCCUAAUGUCAAAAUCUCAGUCCAUGAGAUUAUGGCCUUGUGACCACAUUUUUGCUUUUGUUUUGGGUGGGCAAAUGUGUAUAGAGAUAAAAUACAUAUCUCUAUAUAACAGUCGUUAUUAUAAUUUCAUGAGGCUUUUUACCUCUUAACAUGAUACAUCUAGGAACUUGGUCUAAUUGUGC
This 2469-nucleotide long non-coding RNA is filed under the name Homo sapiens (human). Its description in RNAcentral is "MIR9-2 host gene". The stretch from base 919 to 994 matches the Rfam family "mir-9/mir-79 microRNA precursor family". The record is from RNAcentral. Lineage: Eukaryota; Metazoa; Chordata; Mammalia; Primates; Hominidae.